UUCCGGUUGAUCCUGCCGGAGGGAACCCCUAUCGGGUUCAGACUAARCCAUGCGAGUCGGCUGGGGGCACUUGCCCCUGGCGGCGCACGGCUCAGUAAUACGCGGUCAACCUACCCUGGGGACCGGGAUAACCUCGGGAAACUGAGGCUAAUCCCGGAUGGGUGUAGGGUGCUGAAAUGCCCCUACGCCGAAAGUAGGCGGGAAAUGGACCGCUGAGGCCCCAKGAUGGGACCGCGGCCUAUCAGGUAKUAGGUGGGGUAACGGCCCACCUAUCCUACGACGGGUACGGGCCCUGAGAGGGGGAGCCCGGAGAUGGGCACUGAGACAAGGGUCUAGGCCCUAAGGGGCGCAGCAGGCGCGAAGAUUCCGCAAUGCCCGAAAGGGCGACGGAGUGAACCCGAGUGCCACCCGCUGAGGGUGGCUGUUCCCCUGUGUAAAAAGCARGGGGUAGGAARGGGAGGGCAAGGCUGGUGGCAGCCGCCGCGGUAAAACCAGCUCCCCGAGGGGUUCCCACGCAUACUGGGCCUAAAGCGUCCGUAGCCGGCCCUGUAAGUCCGCAGUUAAAUCCGCCUGUAGACAGGCGGGCUNCUGCGGAUACUGCAGGGCUAGGGAGCGGGAGGAGCCGGGGGUAUUCCCGGGGGAGCGGUAAAAUGCGUAGAUCCCGGGAGGACCACCAGUGGCGAAGGCGCCCGGCUUGAACGCGUCCGACGGUGAGGGACGAAA
RNAcentral lists this ribosomal RNA (723 nucleotides) under uncultured archaeon. RNAcentral describes it as "bacterial SSU rRNA". It matches the Rfam family "Archaeal small subunit ribosomal RNA", at positions 1 to 709 of the family's 1478-position model. The record is from RNAcentral.